RNAcentral lists this long non-coding RNA (474 nucleotides) under Cyanistes caeruleus (blue tit). Its description in RNAcentral is "lncRNA (ENSCCEG00000010388.1)". Lineage: Eukaryota; Metazoa; Chordata; Aves; Passeriformes; Paridae. The record is from RNAcentral.
AUGCGUGGUCUCCACCGCCCACCCCAAGAUGGCUGCCGCGAGUCCCCAGGGGCUGUGCUGAGGUUGGCUCCAAGAUGGCGGCGACCGCGGACUUCGGCUCCCGGCGGGCUGUGGGGUCCGUCCAGCGAGGCCCCGGCCCCGCCCGCGCCGCGCCCUUACGAACGGCGGCGGAUACCCGCAGGUGCUUGGGUCUGCUUUUUCUGGAUUGAGCUCCAACUCCUCAUAUACAAAGCUGCAUGUAUCAAAGCUAGAAGCAAUUCAAAGCAGAAGAAAGAAGCUGAUGAUAGUCCUUUACCAAAUUCCUUUAUUUCAGUAAAGCAAGAGCAGCUCCUUUUUAGUGAAGAGCAGACCCUGAACUCAACUGUCUUGCAGUCUUUGGUCAGAAAAUACUGGUCUAUGUUGAGAAGAAUGAACGAGGGAAUUAAUGCCUGUAAUAUGGACUGCAGAAAAGUCACCUACAAGAUAAGAGGGUGA